CCUACGGGUGGCUGCAGUAGGGAAUAUUGGACAAUGGGCGAAAGCCUGAUCCAGCCAUGCCGCGUGAUAGAUGAAGGCCCUCUGGGUUGUAAAUAUCUUUUAUCUGGGAAGAAACAAUCUUAUUCUUAAGAUCUUGACGGUACCAGAGGAAUAAGCACCGGCUAACUCCGUGCCAGCAGCCGCGGUAAUACGGAGGGUGCAGGCGUUAUCCGGAUUCACUGGGGUGAAGGGGGGCGUAGAAGGGCGUGUAGAAAGCUCCGAGCUUAACUUGGGAACUGCCAUUGAUACUGCCAAGCUUGAAUGUCGUAGAGGUAAGCGGAAUGUUGCAUGUAGCGGUGAAAUGCUUAGAUAUGUUACAGAACACCAAUUGCGAAGGCAGCUUACUAUGCGAUGAUUGACGCUGAGGCACGAAAGCGUGGGGAGCAAACAGGAUUAGAUACCCGAGUAGUC
Molecule: ribosomal RNA, 450 nt
Filed under: uncultured bacterium
Lineage: Bacteria
Description: partial 16S ribosomal RNA
Rfam family: Bacterial small subunit ribosomal RNA
Source: RNAcentral